Long non-coding RNA from Sander lucioperca (pikeperch), 115 nucleotides. RefSeq lists it as uncharacterized. The transcript has 3 exons. The record is from RefSeq and is a predicted model, not a curated record. Lineage: Eukaryota; Metazoa; Chordata; Actinopteri; Perciformes; Percidae.
ACUUCACUGUUGUGAUAAGACUCUCACCGGCAAUUUCCAAUGUCUGCGGAACGUUGACGGAGUCAUUAGGUUUCCAUUAACGUCAAUGUGUGUAUUUCCACUGACUGCAGAACGG